RNAcentral lists this ribosomal RNA (515 nucleotides) under uncultured bacterium. RNAcentral's name for it is "bacterial SSU rRNA". It matches the Rfam family "Bacterial small subunit ribosomal RNA", at positions 8 to 524 of the family's 1533-position model. The record is from RNAcentral.
AGAGUUUGAUCCUGGCUCAGAAUAAACGCUAGCGGCGUGCCUAACACAUGCAAGUCGAGCGAGAAAGUCCUUCGGGAUGAGUAAAGCGGCGGACGGGUGAGUAAUAUAUGAGAAUCUGCCUUUUAGUGGAGAAUACCUUCGAGAAAUCGAAGUUAAUACUGCAUAUGUCCUUCGGGAGAAAGAUGGCCUCUUUGCUGUCGCUAAAAGAUGAGCUCAUACACUAUCAGCUAGUUGGUGGGGUAAAGGCCUACCAAGGCUAUGACGGUUAGCCGGCCUGAGAGGGUGUACGGCCACACUGGAACUUAGACACGGUCCAGACUCCUACGGGAGGCAGCAGUGGGGAAUAUUGCGCAAUGGGCGAAAGCCUGACGCAGCGACGCCGCGUGGAGGAUGAAGGUCUUAGGAUUGUAAACUUCUGUUAAGUGGGAAGAAAAGUCUACGCUUAAUACGCGUUAGAAAAUGACGGUACCAUUAGAGAAAGCACCGGCUAACUUCGUGCCAGCAGCCGCGGUAAU